Molecule: non-coding RNA, 319 nt
Organism: Cinara cedri
Lineage: Eukaryota; Metazoa; Arthropoda; Insecta; Hemiptera; Aphididae
Source: the annotation of a GenBank genome assembly
CCGCGCGCCGUUUGAAAACCGAUACCGGACGGCCGUUACACAUCCCCGAAAACAAGGGGCGACACGCCAAAUGACGCCGUAAUACUUUUUCGGAACAUUCGACGCCGACGAAACGAAACACUCUGUAUGUAGCCCACGAUACCAUAAUAUUAUGUAUUAUAUUAUAUUAUCAUAAUAAUGUACCUGAUAUUAUUUAUUUAUUUACGAUAUUAUGUAGUAUAUUAUUAUUGUGUUCGAUUUAUCGGAAACCGAUACCGCGGUAAUGGUAAAAUACGUGAGCAUAAUGGCCGGUAAAUAUGUUAUAAGGUUUCGUUCUAGG